Chelonus insularis is the source of this 423-nucleotide long non-coding RNA. RefSeq lists it as uncharacterized. The transcript has 3 exons. NCBI's taxonomy places the organism in Eukaryota, Metazoa, Arthropoda, Insecta, Hymenoptera, Braconidae. The record is from RefSeq and is a predicted model, not a curated record.
UGGAGUUCUAGUUAUUAUAAGCUAUCGUCGUCAUUCGUUUGUGCCUAUGGCAAGAAAUAUAUCAUGAAACUGUGAACUGCUGUGAUGUUAUGAAGAUACGAAAUAAAAAUACCAUAUCGCGUCCCUCAUCGUGGGACUUUUGUUUAAUCUCAGCGGCAUAUUCUUUACAAGGGGUAUCCGACAGAGUUCUUCAUCUCAAGUAAAAUAACAAAUAUACACCAAGGUAACAUACAAAAAUGCCCAAUUAACCCGGAAGUCAAGAAACUGAUUUUAUCAGAAUGUUUGUAUCACAAUGCGAUCUUUUGCGCUUCUUGUUCCACGGCACCAAAACUUAAAAAUUUAUUCGAUUAUUUAUAAAGAUUGGUUGUUUUUAGUGCAUGAAUGUAUACGAAAUAUAUUAAAAUAAAUAAAUAUUAGAUCAAA